Long non-coding RNA from Oncorhynchus tshawytscha (Chinook salmon), 419 nucleotides. The record is from Ensembl. Lineage: Eukaryota; Metazoa; Chordata; Actinopteri; Salmoniformes; Salmonidae.
UGUAGUAUAAAAAAAUGUGUGAUUGACUUAGUGUUUUUCUAUUGCUUUUUGUAUAACGUACUUUUGAGAUCACUGAUACUCCACCUGAUGUGGUGGAAGCUGUCGAACCAGAUCAGAACUCCUUCAAGGACCACCUUCAGGCACGGACUGAGAAGGAUGUGGAGGUUUUUGACCAGUCAAGGCGAGACUGAACAUGGACAAGGCAUAUGAGAAAAAGGAGAGCCACCGGAGGAGAAUCAAGGGGACCAAGUGCUUCGACAUCCGGGCAAAUGACUUGGCUUGGAAGAAGGACGAAAGGAAGGCGAGACCUGCGAAAGCUUGGUGCUCUUUCGCUCCUAGCUGGGCUCACCAUCCGUUAAGGGACAAUCCCUUAUCAACCCCACUGACAUCAAAAAUGAGACAGGUAUCCUUUCUUUUCU